RNAcentral lists this ribosomal RNA (536 nucleotides) under uncultured bacterium. Its description in RNAcentral is "partial 16S ribosomal RNA". It matches the Rfam family "Bacterial small subunit ribosomal RNA", at positions 355 to 881 of the family's 1533-position model. The record is from RNAcentral.
UGGGGAAUUUUGGACAAUGGGCGAAAGCCUGAUCCAGCCAUGCCGCGUGCAGGAUGAAGGCCUUCGGGUUGUAAACUGCUUUUGUACGGAACGAAAAGACUCUGGUUAAUACCUGGGGGUCCAUGACGGUACCGUAAGAAUAAGCACCGGCUAACUACGUGCCAGCAGCCGCGGUAAUACGUAGGGUGCAAGCGUUAAUCGGAAUUACUGGGCGUAAAGCGUGCGCAGGCGGUUAUAUAAGACAGAUGUGAAAUCCCCGGGGCUCAACCUGGGAACUGCAUUUGUGACUGUAUAGCUAGAGUACGGCAGAGGGGGGAUGGAAUUCCGCGUGUAGCAGUGAAAUGCGUAGAUAUGCGGAGGAACACCGAUGGCGAAGGCAAUCCCCUGGGCCUGUACUGACGCUCAUGCACGAAAGCGUGGGGAGCAAACAGGAUUAGAUACCCUGGUAGUCCACGCCCUAAACGAUGUCAACUGGUUGUUGGGUCUUCACUGACUCAGUAACGAAGCUAACGCGUGAAGUUGACCGCCUGGGGAGU